This 243-nucleotide ribosomal RNA is filed under the name uncultured Haemophilus sp. RNAcentral's name for it is "partial 16S ribosomal RNA". It matches the Rfam family "Bacterial small subunit ribosomal RNA", at positions 93 to 339 of the family's 1533-position model. The record is from RNAcentral. Lineage: Bacteria; Pseudomonadati; Pseudomonadota; Gammaproteobacteria; Pasteurellales; Pasteurellaceae.
GAGUGGCGGACGGGUGAGUAAUGCUUGGGAAUCUGGCUUAUGGAGGGGGAUAACGACGGGAAACUGUCGCUAAUACCGCGUAGAAUCGAGAGAUGAAAGUGCGGGACCGUAAGGCCGCAUGCCAUGAGAUGAGCCCAAGUGGGAUUAGGUAGUUGGUGAGGUAAAGGCUCACCAAGCCGACGAUCUCUAGCUGGUCUGAGAGGAUGACCAGCCACACUGGGACUGAGACACGGCCCAGACUCC